AACGGUCUAUACCUGCGGUACCUGCGGAGGGAUCAUUACUGAGUUACCACUCUUAACCCUUUGUGAACUUUACCUAGUGUUGCUUCGGCAGGCUUUCCCUGGGAGGGAAGUAGCCUAUUUUUUAGGCAGCCUGGCAGAGGCACAUUUUACUCUGAUUUUUUUGGAUUUCUGAGUUUUUAUAAAAAGAAAAAAACUUUUAACAAUGGAUCUCU
This 212-nucleotide unclassified non-coding RNA is filed under the name soil metagenome. RNAcentral describes it as "partial contains 5.8S ribosomal RNA, internal transcribed spacer 2, and large subunit ribosomal RNA". The record is from RNAcentral.